GGUACCCUUCUUGGCUGAUCCCUUUCGCUUUAUGGCGUGCUCGUUUGGUUUGGGCGUCGGCUAAGAGUGCUCGAAGUGUGGAUUAACUCCAGUCUCCAAUCAGGUAAUCCCCAGCCAUAGUGGGCUUGGAGCUGCGAGGGAUUCGGAGUGGCCACUCGUCUGCAAUAUGGAUUUCUUCUGGUGAUUUGGACUUGAAUUUUCUUUACUUUGAUGAUUUGGGUUUUGUUAUGUAAUAAGGCCGCUUACGAUUAUUUUUAAUUGGGUUUCGAUUUAUAACU
Gossypium arboreum is the source of this 278-nucleotide long non-coding RNA. RefSeq lists it as uncharacterized. The transcript is spliced from 2 exons. The record is from RefSeq and is a predicted model, not a curated record. Lineage: Eukaryota; Viridiplantae; Streptophyta; Magnoliopsida; Malvales; Malvaceae.